GAUGAACGCUGGCGGCGUGCCUAACACAUGCAAGUCGAACGGAGUCCAGCCUUUAAGACCUUCGGGUCAAAGAGGGGAAGACUGAGUGGCGGACGGGUGAGUAACACGUGGGCAACCUGGCUCAUAGAGGGGGAUAACAGAGAGAAAUUUCUGCUAAUACCGCAUAAGCACACACUGCCGCAUGGCAGAGGGUGAAAAGAGAAUCGCUAUGAGAUGGACCCGCGUCUGAUUAGCCAGUUGGCAGGGUAAGAGCCUACCAAAGCGACGAUCAGUAGCCGAUCUGAGAGGAUGAACGGCCACAUUGGGACUGAGGCACGGCCCAAACUCCUACGGGAGGCAGCAGUGGGGGAUAUUGCACAAUGGGGGGAACCCUGAUGCAGCGACGCCGCGUGAGUGAAGAAGUAUUUCGGUAUGUAAAGCUCUAUCAGCAGGGAAGAUAAUGACAGUACCUGAAUAAGAAGCCCCGGCUAUACUCC
RNAcentral lists this ribosomal RNA (476 nucleotides) under uncultured bacterium. RNAcentral describes it as "bacterial SSU rRNA". It matches the Rfam family "Bacterial small subunit ribosomal RNA", at positions 28 to 505 of the family's 1533-position model. The record is from RNAcentral.